AUUGAACGCUGGCGGCAUGCCUUACACAUGCAAGUCGAACGGCAGCACGGGAGCAAUCCUGGUGGCGAGUGGCGAACGGGUGAGUAAUAUAUCGGAACGUGCCCAGUCGUGGGGGAUAACGUAGCGAAAGCUACGCUAAUACCGCAUACGAUCUACGGAUGAAAGCGGGGGAUCGCAAGACCUCGCGCGAUUGGAGCGGCCGAUAUCAGAUUAGGUAGUUGGUGAGGUAAAGGCUCACCAAGCCGACGAUCUGUAGCUGGUCUGAGAGGACGACCAGCCACACUGGGACUGAGACACGGCCCAGACUCCUACGGGAGGCAGCAGUGGGGGAAUUUUUGGACAAUGGGCGCAAGCCUGAUCCAGCAAUGCCGCGUGCAGGAUGAA
Molecule: ribosomal RNA, 384 nt
Filed under: uncultured bacterium
Lineage: Bacteria
Description: bacterial SSU rRNA
Rfam family: Bacterial small subunit ribosomal RNA
Source: RNAcentral